GUUGCAGUUAAGAAGCUCGUAGUUGGAUUUCUGCGGGGACGGGGCGGCCGGUCGCAACUUGCGACUCGAGCUAGCACUUUCCCCGCAUCCUGCCGCGAACCGUGCUACCAUUAGUUUGGUGGCGCCGGGGAUCGGCUCGAUUACUUUGAGAAAAAUAGAGUGUUCAAAGCAGGCCACACGCCUUGAAUAAGUUAGCAUGGAAUAAUGACUAAGGACUUUGGUUCUUUUCGUUGGUGUUCGGGACUGAAGUAAUGAUUGAUAGGGACAGUUGGGGCGGUCUGUAUUCCAAAGCGAGAGGUGAAAUUCUUAGACCUUCGGAAGACAAACAGCUGCGAAAGCGUUCCGCAAGGAUGUUCCCUUUGAUCAAGAACGAAAGUUGGGGGAUCGAAGACGAUCAGAUACCGUCGUAGUCUCAACUAUAAACUAUACCAGCUAGGGAUCGGCCAACGUUUAAUUAUUCGACUUGGUCGGCACCUUAUGAGAAAU
This 486-nucleotide ribosomal RNA is filed under the name uncultured marine eukaryote. RNAcentral's name for it is "bacterial SSU rRNA". It matches the Rfam family "Eukaryotic small subunit ribosomal RNA", at positions 612 to 1098 of the family's 1831-position model. The record is from RNAcentral.